GAUGAACGCUAGCGGCAGGCCUAACACAUGCAAGUCGAGGGAGAAGCCCUUUCGGGGGCAGAAACCGGCGCACGGGUGCGUAACGCGUAUGCAACCUACCUUUCACAGGGGGAUAGCCCGAAGAAAUUUGGAUUAAUACCCCAUAAUAUUAUUGGAUGGCAUCAUUUGAUAAUUAAAACUGCGGUGGUGAAAGAUGGGCAUGCGUCCUAUUAGCUAGUUGGAGUGGUAACGGCACCCCAAGGCUACGAUAGGUAGGGGUCCUGAGAGGGAGAUCCCCCACACUGGUACUGAGACAGGGACCAGACGCCUACGGGAGGCAGCAGUGAGGAAUAGUGGUCAAUGGUCGGAAGACUGAACCAGCCAUGCCGCGUGCAGGAAGAAUGCCUUAUGGGUUGUAAACUGCUUUUAGAUGGGAAGAAUAAGGCGUACGUGUACGUUGAUGACGGUACCAUAUGAAUAAGCAUCGGCUAACUCCGUG
Molecule: ribosomal RNA, 478 nt
Filed under: uncultured bacterium
Lineage: Bacteria
Description: partial 16S ribosomal RNA
Rfam family: Bacterial small subunit ribosomal RNA
Source: RNAcentral